AUAACUCGGGCUAAUGGAAUUAGCCGCUCAUGAUUUGAUGAACGAAAUAAAAAUUUGAAUUCAUGUUAGUAUGGAUAAACUUAUGAAUGGAUGAAAACAACAAUUGUUUCUUCAAUUGAAUCACAAGAGAAUAAUCGACAAUAGUUGAUAAGUGUUGAAGGGAAAACAAGAAAAAUACUUGACGAAAAAGAUGAGGCAAUGUACGUUCCUCCCAAGUUUUAAAAAAAAGAAGAUUGAGAGAUUAAAGAAGAUUGUCCAUAAAACCCUAAAAGAUGCUAUUUAUACUUAACCCUAAUUAUGGAAAUAAAAUAACAAAAAUCAUAAAAUUCUUCGAAUUAGGUGACGUCGUCGCUGAUGCCACGUCAAGGUUCUGACGCCUUAUCACGGAUGGCAUCAGAAUUGCUCCAGUUGCCUUCAAAAUAUGUCUUAGGAUAAUGAUAUAGCUGACGCCGCGUCACCGAUAUGACGGUGUAUCACCAACAUUGUCAGAUUUUUUCUUCAAGCUUAAUUCUCUGGUUUAAGCUGACGCCCAUCGUGACGCCUUAUCAGCACUUUGAUGCCAUGUCACCAAUGUCGUCAGAACUUUCUCUCAGACUUCAACUCUAUGGUUAGGGAUGACACCAAUGCUGAUAGCCUAUCACAAGGCUGACGACUUUUCACGGUCAUCGUCAGCCAUGUUUUCAGCUUUUUUUGCUCAGAUUUCAGCUCUUUUGCUCCAUUGUUAUUUAUUUCCAUGCAUCUUGAAUUUCCUACAAAAUCUUAAGAAAUAACAUCAAAAACACCAAUAAUCACUUAAGAACUUACAUUUAUUUCAAGUAAAAGAGUCUUAAAUGUGCUACAAAAAUCUAGCACAUCACCCACCCCCAACCAAUUAGGGUAAAGUGUUCAUGCAUCCAAUUAGGGUAAAGUGUUCAUGCAUACCUUCAAUAGCACCGAGAUAUUGGCCCAUGGCCAUGUUUACUUCAUCUUUAAGAGCAAGCAUCCUGGCUCUCAAGGCCUAAGGCAACCCUGGAUCCUUUCCUAAGCAUCCUGGCUCUCAAGGCCUAAGGCAACCCUGGAUCCUUUCCUACUUAGUGAUUCCAAGAAGAUGCUUCAACCCCGUUAAGUUUUAGGUGGCUAUCACAGUAUAAUAAAGAUUUCCAAUUUCGUUUUGGAAUAUUUUCAUCCCUGAUUGGAAUGACCUAUGUUGUAAGGGAGGAGAGAAGGUGAACCAGUUUCUUUUAGUUGACUCUCCCAUCUGGUCGAGUAGCUUUUGCUCCUUCCUACUUACUUUAUUAUAAUAUAAGCUUAAGCUACUACGUGGCCUAUUGGGAGCUUUUUAGUCAUAGUGGGAGCUUUUAAAAAUCACUUACCAGGUCAAAAUCAUAGGAAGAGGGAAGAACAAGGGAGAAGAUCUUAUUUAAAAGAAGACGAUUCCAAAAGAAAGUCAAAACGGGGAAUAGGAUGCCUUAAAUGUAAAUAAGAAAGAUCCUAAAUAAAAAAGAAAACACCUAUUAAACCAAUUAUAAAAAUACCAAUUACAGUACCUAUUAUCCAAAGAGGAAUCCUUCCAGUAGUAUCGGCCAUUUACCCCACUUCCCUCCAGAUUUCACAAGUGGUCAUGCUGGAGACAUAAAUAGCCUUGGAUAAUUGAAUUAUGAGAUCCUUCCGAAUGAGUUAAGAGAAUCUUAUUUAUUCUCUUUCAUUUUGUUAAUUGAAGAAAUAAUUGAAAAAUCAAAAAGCAAGUACAAAAAUGAGUAAUAACCCCUAGUAGAGACUAGUAUGAUGAAAUUCAACAUUUUGUUCAUUAUGGUUUGAUUGUGUCAUAGCUCUAUAAUUCAUAUGUUCUUUAUCGUUAGAUGAACUAAUGAUAUUGAUCCCCAAAAAAAUACGGUAGGUACAGCUAGGCCAUGAAUAGACAACCAUCGUAUUGUAAAAAUUAGAUAGGUUUGAUCUAUAGUCAUUAGGGCCUCCUAAAGUGAUCUACUAAAUUCCUUAAGUUAUUCCAAAGGAUCAAAAUGGAAAAUUAUUAAUGGAAUUCCUUGUCGGGUAAGUUCUGACCUGCACAAAAAGAGUAAUGAUCUGGGCACUAUCUCGGAGAGAGGCUCGGUGAAAUAGACAUGUCUGUGAAGAUGUGGACUACCUGCAUCUGGACAGAAAGACCUUAUGAAGCUUCACUGUUCCCUGGGAUUGGCUUUGGGCCUUUCUUGCGCAGCUUAGGUGGAAGGCAAAGAAGGCCUCCUUCUGGGGAGGCUCAAGCCAUCAGUGAGAUACCACUCUAGAAGGGCUAGAAUUCUAACCUUGUGUUAGGACCUACGGACCAAGGGAUAGUCUCAGGUAGACAGUUUCUAUGGGACGUAGGCAUCCUAAAAGGUAACGGAGGCGUGAAAAGGUUUCCUAGGGCCAGACGAAGAUUUUCCCUAGAAUGCAUAGGUAGAAGGGAGCUUGACUGCAAGACCCACCUAUCGAACAGGGACGAAAGUCGGCCUUAGUGAUCUGACGGUGCCGAGUGAAAAGGCCAUCACUCAAUGGAGAAAAGUUACUCUAGGGAUUACAAGAUGAUCUUCCCCAAGAGGUGACAUCAACGGGAAGGUUUGGUACCUCGAUGUCGGCUCUUCGCCACCUGGAGCUGUAGUAUGUUCUAAGGGUUGGACUGUUCGCCCAUUAAAGCGGUACGUGAGCUGGGUUCAGAACAUCGUAAGACAAUUCGUUCCAUAUCUGGUAUGGACUUUAGAGCAUUGAGAGGACCUUUCCCUAGUACGAGAGGACUGAGAAGGACGUACCUCUGGUGUACCAGUUAUCGUGCCCACGAUAAAUGCUGGGUAGCUAAGUGCGGAGCGUAUAACUGCUGAAAGCAUCUAAGUAGUAAGCCCACCCCAAGAUGAGUACUCUCCUAUUCCGAAUUCCCCAGAGCUUCCGGUAGCACAGCCGAGACAGCGACGGGUUCUCCUCCCCUGCGGGGAUGGAGCAACAAAAGUUUUUUUGAGAAUUCAAGAAAAGGUCAUGGCGAGAUGAGCCGUUUAUCAUUACGAUAGGUGUCAAGUGGAAGUGUAGUGAUGUAUGCAGCUAAGGCAUCCUAAUAGACCGGUAGACUUGAAC
This 3078-nucleotide ribosomal RNA is filed under the name Capsicum chinense (habanero). RNAcentral's name for it is "bacterial LSU rRNA". The stretch from base 2101 to 3067 matches the Rfam family "Bacterial large subunit ribosomal RNA", at positions 2048 to 2912 of the family's 2925-position model. Lineage: Eukaryota; Viridiplantae; Streptophyta; Magnoliopsida; Solanales; Solanaceae. The record is from RNAcentral.